AAUAUUGGACAAUGGGGGAAACCCUGAUCCAGCAAUGCCGCGUGGGUGAAGAAGGCCUGCGGGUUGUAAAGCCCUUUCGCCUGGGAAGAAAAGCCUGGUGCUAAUACCGCCGGGUCUUGACGUGACCAGGAGAAGAAGCACCGGCCACCUCCGUGCCAUCAGCCGCGGUAACACGGCGGGUGCGAGCGUUAAUCGGAAUUACUGGGCGUAAAGCGCGCGUAGGCGGUGGCGUGAGUCGGGCGUGAAAGCCCCGGGCUUAACCUGGGAAUUGCGUUCGAUACUGCGCUGCUAGAGUCUGGGAGAGGGAAGGGGAAUUCCGGGUGUAGCGGUGAAAUGCGUAGAUAUCCGGAGGAACACCAGUGGCGAAGGCGCCUUCCUGGCCCAAGACUGACGCUGAGGUGCGAAAGCGUGGGGAGCAAACA
This 422-nucleotide ribosomal RNA is filed under the name uncultured bacterium. RNAcentral describes it as "partial 16S ribosomal RNA". It matches the Rfam family "Bacterial small subunit ribosomal RNA", at positions 360 to 774 of the family's 1533-position model. The record is from RNAcentral.